GACCUCCUUGUGCUUACCACAGGCUGUGUUCUUACACUGACUGUAUAGAAAGAGGAGGCAGAGAACCUACCCCAUGUACACCACAGCCUAGGCCUUUGUGCCUGGUCUGUAUUGUGAAUGGGGAGACAUGG
Molecule: small nucleolar RNA, 131 nt
Organism: Mesocricetus auratus (golden hamster)
Lineage: Eukaryota; Metazoa; Chordata; Mammalia; Rodentia; Cricetidae
Source: Ensembl